GCCGGAGUGGUGGAAUUUGGUAGACACGCCAGACUUAGGAUCUGGUGCCUUCGGGCGUGGGGGUUCAAGUCCCCCCUUCGGCA
RNAcentral lists this transfer RNA (83 nucleotides) under Nocardioides marmoriginsengisoli. RNAcentral describes it as "Marmoricola sp. Gsoil 097 tRNA". It matches the Rfam family "tRNA". From Rfam's summary of the family: Transfer RNA (tRNA) molecules are approximately 80 nucleotides in length. Their secondary structure includes four short double-helical elements and three loops (D, anti-codon, and T loops). The record is from Rfam by way of RNAcentral. Lineage: Bacteria; Bacillati; Actinomycetota; Actinomycetes; Propionibacteriales; Nocardioidaceae.